CAGGCUUAACACAUGCAAGUCGAGGGGCAUCAGGAAGAAAGCUUGCUUUCUUUGCUGGCGACCGGCGCACGGGUGAGUAACACGUAUCCAACCUGCCCUUUACUCGGGGAUAGCCUUUCGAAAGAAAGAUUAAUACCCGAUAGCAUAAUGAUUCCGCAUGGUUUCAUUAUUAAAGGAUUCCGGUAAAGGAUGGGGAUGCGUUCCAUUAGGUUGUUGGUGAGGUAACGGCCCACCAAGCCUUCGAUGGAUGGGGGUUCUGAGAGGAAGGUCCCCCACAUUGGAACUGAGACACGGUCCAAACUCCUACGGGAGGCAGCAGUGAGGAAUAUUGGUCAAUGGGCGCUAGCCUGAACCAGCCAAGUAGCGUGAAGGAUGAAGGCUCUAUGGGUCGUAAACUUCUUUUAUAUAAGAAUAAAGUGCAGUAUGUAUACUGUUUUGUAUGUAUUAUAUGAAUAAGGAUCGGCUAACUCCGUGCCAGCAGCCGCGGUAAUGCGGAGGAUCCGAGCGUUAUCCGGAUUUAUUGGGUUUAAAGGGAGCGUAGGUGGACUGGUAAGUCAGUUGUGAAAGUUUGCGGCUCAACCGUAAAAUUGCAGUUGAUACUGUCAGUCUUGAGUACAGUAGAGGUGGGCGGAAUUCGUGGUGUAGCGGUGAAAUGCUUAGAUAUCACGAAGAACUCCGAUUGCGAAGGCAGCUCACUGGACUGCAACUGACACUGAUGCUCGAAAGUGUGGGUAUCAAACAGGAUUAGAUACCCUGGUAGUCCACACAGUAAACGAUGAAUACUCGCUGUUUGCGAUAUACAGUAAGCGGCCAAGCGAAAGCAUUAAGUAUUCCACCUGGGGAGUACGCCGGCAACGGUGAAACUCAAAGGAAUUGACGGGGGCCCGCACAAGCGGAGGAACAUGUGGUUUAAUUCGAUGAUACGCGAGGAACCUUACCCGGGCUUAAAUUGCAGUGGAAUGAUGUGGAAACAUGUCAGUGAGCAAUCACCGCUGUGAAGGUGCUGCAUGGUUGUCGUCAGCUCGUGCCGUGAGGUGUCGGCUUAAGUGCCAUAACGAGCGCAACCCUUAUCUUUAGUUACUAACAGGUUAUGCUGAGGACUCUAGAGAGACUGCCGUCGUAAGAUGUGAGGAAGGUGGGGAUGACGUCAAAUCAGCACGGCCCUUACGUCCGGGGCUACACACGUGUUACAAUGGGGGGUACAGAAGGCAGCUAGCGGGUGACCGUAUGCUAAUCCCAAAAUCCUCUCUCAGUUCGGAUCGAAGUCUGCAACCCGACUUCGUGAAGCUGGAUUCGCUAGUAAUCGCGCAUCAGCCACGGCGCGGUGAAUACGUUCCCGGGCCUUGUACACACCGCCCGUCAAGCCAUGGGAGCCGGGGGUACCUGAAGUACGUAACCGCAAGGAUCGUCCUAGGGUAAAACUGGUGACUGGGGCUAA
Molecule: ribosomal RNA, 1438 nt
Filed under: uncultured organism
Description: 16S ribosomal RNA
Rfam family: Bacterial small subunit ribosomal RNA
Source: RNAcentral